CCCUUAGAUGUUCUGGGCUGCACGCGCGCUACAAUGGCGUUUUCAAAAAGAUUGCUAAUCCGAAAGGACCAGCGGAUAUUCGAAGUGGCGUCGUGAUCGGGACAGUUGAUUGCAAUUAUUCGACUCGAACGAGGAAUUCCUUGUAAUCGUGCGUCAUCAGCGCACGCUGAAUACGUCCCUGCCCUUUGUACACACCGCCCGUCGCACCUACCGAUUGGAUGGUCCGGUGAAGCCUCGGGAUUGUGGUUCUUGCCGCUUUAUUGUGGCGUGACCGCGAGAACUUGUCUAAACCUUAUCAUCUAGAGGAAGGUGAAGUCGUAACA
Molecule: ribosomal RNA, 323 nt
Filed under: uncultured eukaryote
Lineage: Eukaryota
Description: partial 18S ribosomal RNA
Rfam family: Eukaryotic small subunit ribosomal RNA
Source: RNAcentral